RNAcentral lists this non-coding RNA (164 nucleotides) under uncultured Victivallis sp. The record is from RNAcentral. Lineage: Bacteria; Pseudomonadati; Lentisphaerota; Lentisphaeria; Victivallales; Victivallaceae.
CGCCGCGAGCCGGAAUCUGAAGGAAGUCCAUAGCAAAGCAUUGGCCCGACGAACAGGAAGCCGAUAAUAGGCAUGAGACAUGGAUGAGAUGGCCACAAUCAUCAAAGUCCGAAACCUGUCCGGAAACGUUUCAUGUAGAUCGGACGGGCAUAAAUGUGAAAGUC